This is a non-coding RNA of Pelobates cultripes (western spadefoot toad), 603 nucleotides long. NCBI's taxonomy places the organism in Eukaryota, Metazoa, Chordata, Amphibia, Anura, Pelobatidae. The record is from the annotation of a GenBank genome assembly.
GUUGUCAUUAAUACAGUAGUUACUUGCGAAAUAAAUUACAAGCACUUUAUAGCUCACAUACAUGGUUUUGUAAAAUUGGCACCAUCAUUUUAAACAUAUACAUAAUGAUUUCUAGUAAUAAAUACCACCCGGUAUGCUGGCAUUCUAGACAGAUAUGUUUUUUUUAUAUAUUAUGUUAUGUAUGGUAUGUCUACAUUUGGCGUAUUAGACAUGCUAGCCUAUCCAUUGUGAUAGUUUAUUAUUAAGACGUAACAUUGACACCCAAUAAACACAAAUUCAUUACCCACAACACGUUACCUUUCUUUAUCUCAAUAGACAGGUUUCUUUGUCACAGUAUAAGUUAUGAGAGGAAAUAGAGAAUCAAUCUGUUUUAAUUGAUCGAUAAGCUUAUGAUAGAUAUAGAUUCUAAUAGCUAAGCAACACUUUGAGCAAGCAUAUUCACUAGACUGUCACAGGGAAUCAUUUCAAAAGCAUCACUAUUACUGCAGUUGGGAUGAGAUCGCAAUGAUUCCGUGCAUAAGAUGAGAUUUUUUUUUAUUGCAGUGUCUACUUAGAUUUUUAUAUCUUCAUCUUAUGUAACAGCUGAGCACCAAAUAAUAUUAU